AUUUAUUUGCAUGAUAGAGAAGUCUAGUUGGGGGAAAAAAAUCCACUGUUGCCUGAAGCAAAUCUGCCAAAAAGCCUACAUUGGAAUUUCUGUUGCUAUUGUAUAUUUUGCUUUUCUCUCUUCCCUCCCCAGCUGCCCCUUAUAUGAAUAAUACUUGGCACUUUGAAUCUUCAGAGAGAACUGUGUGCUUUGCCCCUGUGAAGUGGCUUAGUUUAUCUGUAUUUUGUUAUAGGAGAGAGAGGCCAAAGUCAUGCAGCGAGGCAGUGUGCCUGUACCGUGAGAUGGCCCACACCUACGGCCGGCUGCUGCAGCGCUGGAGGGAUCGAGCAUUAACGGGCCAGUCGGAGGCUCGCCGAGUCCUAGCCGAAAUGCUAACGCCCUCGGGUGGCUGUAGGUGUAACUGUUACCGCUUCAUAUCCUGGGUGACUGGCUCCAGCCCGAGCACCAUUAGCAAGGUUAACGAGCAGAUGAAGAGGACGGGGGGAGAUAGGGAGCCCCCUCCCCACAGACUCAAGCAGCGGAGGAAGGCUCUGGACCCCUGCCCCCCGCCGCAGGCCAUGCUUGUCUCAGCACUGCCCAGCACCAGCGGGGAGAUGACAUCACCUUGUACCAGGCGGCCAGCUGGCACCUUCUCUCCUGCACCGGCUGCUGCUCCAAAAGCUGCAUCCGCUGCUCUGGCUCCCUCCAGCCCCCUGCCGCACAGAGCCCAGGUGAUACGUCCGGUAAAACAUCCUCAGCUGCUGUAAAUCAGAGCAGCUCCAGCAAAGUCAAUGGGACAGUGUUGACUGACUCCCACUGAGGAUUUGGCCCAGUAACCCAGGCAAUUUAAGUGGGGUUAGCCAAGCCAGGAACCAGUGCUAGGAACGCCCUGGUCAUCUUACCCACCAAAGCACAGGCCUUUUGUAAAUGUAAACCCACUGGCCUGGCCAUCUGCGGCUCCCACUGAUACCUCUAGCAGGAGAAGUGUUAGCCCCAGCGCUCUGGGUAACUGUGUCCUCCCUCCCUGGAACUCCCCCUGCAGCCGUGUGCUGUUCAGUAGCUGCCGGCUGCCUCCCCCGGAUGUCGGGAGCGAUCCCUGCUCGCCUGUGCAGAGUACCGGGCUCCGGGGAAGGCAGGUGCUGUGACGGUUGGUCUGUAUUACCAUGUGCCAAGCACGACCGCACAUAGGUUGAGAGGCGCUUCGAGAUCUGCGGCUGGUGGAACGUGCGAUGUAAGGACGGGGGAUUGAUCCUAACCGUCGCCCGGCCCUCCUGUAAUACGUGGUUCGCCCUGCAGGUGUCACCAUGGCAGAGCCCUUAAAGCAGGAGCUCUCAAAGGUUUGUGCUGGUGCCCCCCCUUCACACAGCAAGCCCCUGAGUGCGACCCCCCCCCAUAAAUUACAAACACUUUUGAAUGUAUUUAGCGCCAUUAUAAAUGCUGGAAGCAAAGCGGGGUUUGGGGUGGAGGCUGACAGCUAGCGACCCCCCCCCGCCAUGUAAUAACCUGGAGACCCCCUGCAGGGUCCCAACCCCCCCUUGCCUUAAAGAGAGGAGGCUGAGCUGCUGCUAUUAUCAGCGCUGAAUGACGCCAAGCAGCAGCCAGCCUGGAAGAUGCUUAUGGGGGCGAGACGCGUGCACCUGCCUUACCCUCUAGAGGGCGCCCUGUGUAACUUUCCCUGCAGAUUGAUGGACAUCUUCUCUCCCACCUCUUAGACUGAGCAGCAGCAUCCGCGGGGCCUUGGCUACACUAGGGAUCCAGCCCACCCUGCGCAGCCUUCACCCCUGGCCCAGUCUCCGGCGCGCUCUCAGCUUCUUGGGCCGGACGCUGGGCUCCGUCCAGCCCGUCAGCAGAUGCAGAUUUGCAUCUGCUGCAGCCUCCUUUGAUCCUGAUGGGGGCAAACAAAGGGGCUGCUCCAGGGGGCCGGUUUCCUGGAGGCUGCGUUGCAGGUGCUGAGAGGGGCCUGCUGCCCAACGCAGAACAGAGGCUCCCAUCCCAGCUGGCAGGAGGUGAUGAGACCUCAC
Mauremys mutica (yellowpond turtle) is the source of this 2000-nucleotide RNA transcript. RefSeq lists it as uncharacterized. Lineage: Eukaryota; Metazoa; Chordata; Testudines; Geoemydidae. The transcript is spliced from 5 exons. The record is from RefSeq and is a predicted model, not a curated record.